Musa acuminata subsp. malaccensis (wild Malaysian banana) is the source of this 736-nucleotide long non-coding RNA. RefSeq lists it as uncharacterized. NCBI's taxonomy places the organism in Eukaryota, Viridiplantae, Streptophyta, Magnoliopsida, Zingiberales, Musaceae. The record is from RefSeq and is a predicted model, not a curated record.
AGCUUUUGGCCUCCACCGCCCCCAACGGGCCGUGGUUGAUCGCCGACGCUUUCGGAUCCUGACCCCUUCCUCCUGUGGACGGAAGAUGCAAACUCGUGACACUUCAAGCGGCUUCUGAUUUGGGUGCAAGAUCAGAUGUCGAUGCCAUUGCGAACGAGCUUGAUUGUGGCCAUCAGAUGUAGCAGGCUAUGGCUACGGUUGGUGACUUGAUUCGUGGUUGGAGGAAGGGCGAUCCCUUCUACCUCUGAGGUUGUGGAGGCCCUCAUAGUGUUGAGGCCGAGCGACCGCUCUCGGUUCCGCCAUGUGGCCAUGAGAUGCAGUUGCGGGAGAUGGGUUACGAUGCCAGGUUGUGCAAGGUGAGGCGGGAGCGCACUUAGAAUUUGUGGUCGGUAGCUACGAGUACAUCAACAUGAUGAUGUCAAAGGGGAUUGAGGAGCGGUGAUACAUCAUGGACUUGGUCUUCGCGUCGAAGUUCGUGGUGGCACAAGCGGAGAAGAGUUAUGUGGAGGUAGUGGUCACGCUGUCAUAGGUGAUGAUCGCAGCGCUGGAGAAGGUGCGGCAAGUGUUGCAGAUGUCGAGGGAGGCAGCACGACGGUCACUGAAAUCCCGAACUUUAGUUUUGUCGUAAACGUUAGCUCAGUAAUGACAUGAUUCUCAUGUUCUACCACACUCAUGCCAAAACUAUUGCUUUGUCACACUGGAAAAAUAAGCUUCUUUUAAAAGCACGACGAUUUAA